UAUGGCCAUAUCACCUUGAAAUAUCGGUUCUCGUUCGUUUACGGAAGUUAAGCAACAUCGAGCCUGAUCAGUACUUAGGUGAGUGACCGCUUGGGAAUAUCAGGUGCUGUAAG
Non-coding RNA from Acanthosepion pharaonis, 113 nucleotides. The record is from the annotation of a GenBank genome assembly. Lineage: Eukaryota; Metazoa; Mollusca; Cephalopoda; Sepiida; Sepiidae.